UGAUGCACAUCAUAUUUCUCAACACCAGAGUUCACACUGUGAUGGCACAAUGAUUCCCCUGGCUGAUC
RNAcentral lists this small nucleolar RNA (68 nucleotides) under Euglena gracilis. RNAcentral describes it as "Eg-m81". Lineage: Eukaryota; Euglenozoa; Euglenophyceae; Euglenales; Euglenaceae. The record is from RNAcentral.